AUUAAAUUACAAGAACUUUAUUCAGAUUAAUUUUAUUAGCAGAACUCAGAUAAUUUAGCACUUUGAAUAGAAAAGAAGGUUUAUACAAGUCAUGAUAUAUGUGACUUAGUGAACCUCCUAUUGGAUUUCUUGUAUUUCUCUCUAGUGCUCCAAUGCACACCAUAAAAAAAGAUCAACCUGUUCCCCAGAGAGUUUUCAGAGAGAGGUCUGUUUCUAGCUACCAUAUCUGUGCCCUGCUACAGAAUACAGGUCAGGGAAAAGGAUGUGGUGAUAUUGGCUUCCCGAAGAGAAGAGAACCCCUGUCACAAGACAUUCACAGGGACGCAGGCAAUGCUCAUUCCACUACUACCUGGAGACACUUGCUAUGAAGACAAAAAAAUCAAGAUUGCAAGGAAAGCUGACAUUUAAGCUCCCCAUGAUUUUGCUUGGUGCCUAUAUCUGAGAGGGAGGAUAACUCCUCAGCUGAUGCCCUGAGUAGCUGAAGGGAUAAAUAUAACAAAUAAGGAAUUUGUGUGAUCCCUACAGUAGUAGAGAAAAGGUUUCCGUCAGCUGAAGAAUUCAACAAGUCAAUAGAUUUACAAGAGGCAACUGAGUCAAGAACCUCUGUUAAGGAGCUAGGAAGAGAUUUAGCUGAGAAGGGGUAUGAGCCUUGAGCCAGGAAUAUGUAAAACAAAUAAAAUACAAAAAUGGCUAGAAGUUCA
RNAcentral lists this long non-coding RNA (701 nucleotides) under Anas platyrhynchos platyrhynchos (common mallard). RNAcentral describes it as "lncRNA (ENSAPLG00000024682.1)". The record is from RNAcentral. Lineage: Eukaryota; Metazoa; Chordata; Aves; Anseriformes; Anatidae.